This 23-nucleotide non-coding RNA is filed under the name Arabidopsis thaliana (thale cress). Lineage: Eukaryota; Viridiplantae; Streptophyta; Magnoliopsida; Brassicales; Brassicaceae. The record is from RNAcentral.
UAAUUGGAUAUUAGAUAUGCCUA